GACGAACGCUGGCGGCGGGCUUAACACAUGCAAGUCGAACGGAAAGGCCCUGCUUUUGUGGGGUGCUCGAGUGGUGAACGGGUGAGUAACACGCGAGUAACCUGCCCUUGACUUUGGGAUAACUUCAGGUAACUGGUGCUAAUACCGGAUAGGAGCUCCUGCUGCAUGGUGGGGGUUGGAAAGUUUCGGCGGGUGGGGAUGGACUCGCGGCUUAUCAGCUUGUUGGUGGGGUAGUGGCUUACCAAGGCUUUGACGGGUAGCCGGCCUGAGAGGGUGACCGGCCACAUUGGGACUGAGAUACGGCCCAGACUCCUACGGGAGGCAGCAGUGGGGAAUAUUGCACUAGGGGCGGAAGCCUGAUGCAGCAACGCCGCGUGCGGGAUGACGGCCAGCGGGUUGUAAACCGCUUUCGCCUGUGACGAAGCGUGAGUGACGGUAAUGGGUAAAGAAGCACCGGCUAACUACGUG
RNAcentral lists this ribosomal RNA (468 nucleotides) under uncultured bacterium. Its description in RNAcentral is "partial 16S ribosomal RNA". It matches the Rfam family "Bacterial small subunit ribosomal RNA", at positions 28 to 507 of the family's 1533-position model. The record is from RNAcentral.